Hydra vulgaris (swiftwater hydra) is the source of this 2051-nucleotide non-coding RNA. The record is from RefSeq and is a predicted model, not a curated record. NCBI's taxonomy places the organism in Eukaryota, Metazoa, Cnidaria, Hydrozoa, Anthoathecata, Hydridae.
UUUUAAAUAUAUGUACCAGCUAUAGAAAAUAAAACAAUUUAUGUAAGUUUCAAUAGUGAGCUUUUGGACAAAACGACGAAAGAUAAUAGCUGAUGUUGAAUAUUGCCUAAAAGAUCUAACUCUUAAAUCAAGCAAUAUUUCACAUUCACCAGAGGAAGUACAAUCAUUGUAUUUAAAAAGUAUAUCAGAUCGAAAACUUUCAACUGAGAGUGUUAUUCCAUCAGGUGCAAAUAAUAUUGAUUGUGAAGUGAACUCUGACAGUAAUCUAUUGAUAUUAAAUAUUGGCAUUAGACAAGUUAUUUUAAGUAAUAAUUUAAGUUUUUUAAAGAAAAAAGAUUGUAUACCAAUUCAAGUCAAUAUUGAUGAUUUACCAUUGUUUAAAAGCAGCAUUGGACAAUUUUGACCAAUAUUAGGUUUAAAAAAUGUGGAUAAACAAUAUUCAACACAAUAAAACCCCAUUUAUAAUCGGUCAUUUUUAUAGUAGGUCUAAACCAAAAGACCGUAAUGAAUAUCUAAAAAUGUUUGUUAAUGAAAGUAUUGCUUUAUUUGAAUCUAGUAUUAGUAUUAAUGGUAAAGUAUAUAAGUUUGCUAUAUCAGCUUUUAUUUGUGGUACACCAGCUUGAUCAUUUAUAAAUGGAAAUAAAGGACAAUAAAUAAGAUAAAGCCUAUUAAUAAAUGUUAUGCAAUAAUUAAUGGCAUUAAUUUGAUAUCUUUUUUUUUUUUAAUUUUUUAAAAAAUAUUCUUCAGUAUAUAUAUUACUGAUGCUUUUUCUAUAUUUUUUUGUAGAUAAUAGCUGUGGCAAGUAAAGGAGGUCAGACUUUAAAGGAGGCUGUCCAGAGAAUGUCUUUUGCGUUAUUCACUAAUAACCUCUGCUAUAAACUUAACUGGUCUGGUAUUACUUUAAAUGACAAUGAAAGUAACUUUGUAAAACAAAGACUUACACUUGCUUAAAAGAGCUGUAAAAAGAAAUCCUGCAACAACUUCAGCAACUGAAUCAGAUUUUCAAUAUGAGGUUGUGCGUUUUUUGCGUGGUGCAUCAGACCGCAAUGGCGGAAAAAAGUUAGACAAGACCAAAAAAACAAACAAGCCAAGAAAAAAGUGAUGCCUACAUCAAGUUUUUAUUAAUUAAAUAAAGAGGCAUUUUUUAGUUCAGAAGAUGAAUAAUAUUGUUAAAUAAAAUAAGCAUCUUUAUUUAAAAAUUUGUUACCUUUAUUUUGUUGAAAACUAUUUUAUAUAUUUUUAAAUAUUUUAAUUUUUAAACUCAAUAGAGUAAAGUUUUUGUGCAAUGAGUAUUACUGUUUCUGUGUUUUUCAUAUUCAUUCCCUUUUACAGUAACCUUUUGUAUAUGAGAUUGUAAAUGAAAAUUUAAAUCGUGAUAUUGAAUCUUGCCCGAGAAUAAAGUAAGGAAACCUCAACCAGAGUUAUAUUUCAUAGAAUUAUGUUGACCAUGAUCCAACUAUUGCCAUGGGUAUAAGAUAGAUGUUUGGUUUGCAAACUGGAUUUAAAUCAUACUUUCUUUAAACAUAUUUAUUUGCUCUUUAUAUGCUUUCAAAUAAUUUAUUAGAAAAAAUUAUAUUCUUAUUUACUAAACCGUUUUAUUUCAAUCAAUUGUUUGCUUUUUUAUAUUUUUCAAGGAGUUUUUAUAGUAUAUUAUAUUGGGCUAUGUUUUUUUUUUUUGUAUGGUGAAAACUAUGUUCAAUUUACAAACUAUAUUUUAGUUUAUCAAAACAUAUUUUUAUUGAUGUGUUUUUCCUCUGAUUCUUUAUUUUUCAGAUGUGCACUUGUGUCUUAGGCUUAUGCUUUGCAAAAGGUUCACCAUCGCCCUUAAGUUGCUGUGGAUUUUACGGUUUUACUUCCAACCUGGCAUAUAAUAUCUGAAGUUAUUUGUCAAUAACUGGUGAUCAGACUAUUUCAAACGAAUACGUUUUAUAAGGGCUGAGAAGGUGAAAGUUAGAAGUCUGCAGACUGCAACGUAAAUCAAUUUUCAACACAUGGUUUCCUGAAUAUAUUUAGUUUUCGAUUAAAAUGAGAAUAAACUGAACUUAUAGAUA